CGCUAGCGGGAGGCUUACACAUGCAAGUCGAGGGGUAACAUGGUUUUCGGACUGAUGACGACCGGCGCACGGGUGCGUAACGCGUAUGCAACCUUCCUUAUGCAGGAGGAUAGCCCAUGGAAACGUGGAUUAAUACUCCAUACUAUUAGUAUUAUGCAUGUAAUAUUAAUAAAAACUACGGUGGCAUAAGAUGGGCAUGCGUCUGAUUAGUUAGUUGGUGAGGUAACGGCUCACCAAGGCGACGGUCAGUAGGGGUUCUGAGAGGAUUAUCCCCCACACUGGUACUGAGACACGGACCAGACUCCUACGGGAGGCAGCAGUGAGGAAUAUUGGUCAAUGGGUGAGAGCCUGAACCAGCCAUCCCGCGUGCAGGAUGACGGCCCUAUGGGUUGUAAACUGCUUUUCUACGCCAAGAAAGGUCCCUACGUGUAGGGAAUUGACGGUAGCGUAGGAAUAAGCAUCGGCUAACUCCGUGCCAGCAGCCGCGGUAAUACGGAGGAUGCAAGCGUUAUCCGGAUUUAUUGGGUUUAAAGGGUGCGCAGGCGGGUUUUUAAGUCAGUGGUGAAAUACUGCCGCUUAACGGUAGAAUUGCCAUUGAAACUAGGAAUCUUGAGUGUGGUUGAGGUAGGCGGAAUGUGUAGUGUAGCGGUGAAAUGCAUAGAUAUUACACAGAACACCGAUUGCGGAGGCAGCUUACUAAGCCAUAACUGACGCUGAGGCACGAAAGCGUGGGGAGCGAACAGGAUUAGAUACCCUGGUAGUCCCACGCUGUAAACGAUGUUCACUCGCUGUUUGCGAUACACAGUAAGCGGCUGAGCGAAAGCA
This 825-nucleotide ribosomal RNA is filed under the name uncultured organism. RNAcentral's name for it is "bacterial SSU rRNA". It matches the Rfam family "Bacterial small subunit ribosomal RNA", at positions 34 to 859 of the family's 1533-position model. The record is from RNAcentral.